UACGGAGGGUGCAAGCGUUAUCCGGAUUCACUGGGUUUAAAGGGUGCGUAGGAGGGCAGGUAAGUCAGUGGUGAAAUCUCCGAGCUUAACUUGGAAACUGCCGUUGAUACUAUCUGUCUUGAAUAUUGUGGAGGUUAGCGGAAUAUGUCAUGUAGCGGUGAAAUGCUUAGAUAUGACAUAGAACACCAAUUGCGAAGGCAGCUCGCUACACAUAUAUUGACUCUGAGGCACGAAAGCGUGGGGAUCAAACAGG
RNAcentral lists this ribosomal RNA (253 nucleotides) under uncultured bacterium. Its description in RNAcentral is "partial 16S ribosomal RNA". It matches the Rfam family "Bacterial small subunit ribosomal RNA", at positions 524 to 776 of the family's 1533-position model. The record is from RNAcentral.